GGAGGAAUACCGGUGGCGAAGGCGGCCCCCUGGACGAAGACUGACGCUCAGGUGCGAAAGCGUGGGGAGCAAACAGGAUUAGAUACCCUGGUAGUCCACGCCGUAAACGAUGUCGACUUGGAGGUUGUGCCCUUGAGGCGUGGCUUCCGGAGCUAACGCGUUAAGUCGACCGCCUGGGGAGUACGGCCGCAAGGUUAAAACUCAAAUGAAUUGACGGGGGCCCGCACAAGCGGUGGAGCAUGUGGUUUAAUUCGAUGCAACGCGAAGAACC
RNAcentral lists this ribosomal RNA (271 nucleotides) under Shigella sonnei. Its description in RNAcentral is "partial 16S ribosomal RNA". It matches the Rfam family "Bacterial small subunit ribosomal RNA", at positions 700 to 970 of the family's 1533-position model. The record is from RNAcentral. Lineage: Bacteria; Pseudomonadati; Pseudomonadota; Gammaproteobacteria; Enterobacterales; Enterobacteriaceae.